GACGUAGGGCGCGAGCGUUGUCCGGAUUUAUUGGGCGUAAAGAGCUCGUAGGCGGCUCAUUGCGUCAACCGUGAAAACCUGCAGCUUAACUGUGGGCUUGCGGUUGAUACGGGUGGGCUGGAGUUCGGUAGGGGAGACUGGAAUUCCUGGUGUAGCGGUGAAAUGCGCAGAUAUCAGGAGGAACACCGGUGGCGAAGGCGGGUCCCUGGGCCGAUACUGACGCUGAGGAGCGAAAGCGUGGGGAGCGAACAGG
RNAcentral lists this ribosomal RNA (253 nucleotides) under uncultured bacterium. Its description in RNAcentral is "partial 16S ribosomal RNA". It matches the Rfam family "Bacterial small subunit ribosomal RNA", at positions 524 to 776 of the family's 1533-position model. The record is from RNAcentral.